GAGGGCAAUCUGCCCUGCACUCUGGGACAAGCCCUGGAAACGGGGUCUAAUACCGGAUACUGACCAUCGCAGGCAUCUGUGAUGUUCGAAAGCUCCGGCGGUGCAGGAUGAGCCCGCGGCCUAUCAGCUUGUUGGUGAGGUAAUGGCUCACCAAGGCGACGACGGGUAGCCGGCCUGAGAGGGCGACCGGCCACACUGGGACUGAGACACGGCCCAGACUCCUACGGGAGGCAGCAGUGGGGAAUAUUGCACAAUGGGCGAAAGCCUGAUGCAGCGACGCCGCGUGAGGGAUGACGGCCUUCGGGUUGUAAACCUCUUUCAGCAGGGAAGAAGCGAAAGUGACGGUACCUGCAGAAGAAGCGCCGGCUAACUACGUGCCAGCAGCCGCGGUAAUACGUAGGGCGCGAGCGUUGUCCGGAAUUAUUGGGCGUAAAGAGCUCGUAGGCGGCUUGUCACGUCGGUUGUGAAAGCCCGGGGCUUAACCCCGGGUCUGCAGUCGAUACGGGCAGGCUAGAGUUCGGUAGGGGAGAUCGGAAUUCCUGGUGUAGCGGUGAAAUGCGCAGAUAUCAGGAGGAACACCGGUGGCGAAGGCGCAUCUCUGGCCCGAUACUGACGCUGAGGAGCGAAAGCGUGGGGAGCGAACAGGAUUAGAUACCCUGGUAGUCCACGCCGUAAACGGUGGGCACUAGGUGUGGGCAACAUUC
RNAcentral lists this ribosomal RNA (704 nucleotides) under Streptomyces sp. RNAcentral describes it as "bacterial SSU rRNA". It matches the Rfam family "Bacterial small subunit ribosomal RNA", at positions 117 to 834 of the family's 1533-position model. The record is from RNAcentral. Lineage: Bacteria; Bacillati; Actinomycetota; Actinomycetes; Kitasatosporales; Streptomycetaceae.